This 410-nucleotide ribosomal RNA is filed under the name uncultured bacterium. RNAcentral describes it as "bacterial SSU rRNA". It matches the Rfam family "Bacterial small subunit ribosomal RNA", at positions 11 to 416 of the family's 1533-position model. The record is from RNAcentral.
GUUUGAUCCUGGCUCAGGACGAACGCUGGCGGCGUGCUUAACACAUGCAAGUCGAACGGAUCCCAAUCAGUAGCAAUACUGAGGAAGGGUUAGUGGCGAACGGGUGAGUAACACGUGAGAAACCUAUCCUGGUCUCUGGGAUAACAGUCGGAAACAACUGCUAAUACCGGAUGCCGUCGGAGCGUCGCAUGGCGCGCUGACGAAAGGGUUACUGGAUCAGGAGGGUCUCGCGGCCUAUCAGCUAGAUGGUGGGGUAACGGCCCACCAUGGCAUCGACGGGUAGCUGGUCUGAGAGGAUGAUCAGCCACACUGGGACUGAGACACGGCCCAGACUCCUACGGGAGGCAGCAGUGGGGAAUCUUGCGCAAUGGCGAAAGCCUGACGCAGCAACGCCGCGUGCGGAGAAGGCU